This 77-nucleotide transfer RNA is filed under the name marine bacterium AO1-C. RNAcentral describes it as "tRNA-Asn". It matches the Rfam family "tRNA". Rfam says of the family: Transfer RNA (tRNA) molecules are approximately 80 nucleotides in length. Their secondary structure includes four short double-helical elements and three loops (D, anti-codon, and T loops). The record is from RNAcentral. Lineage: Bacteria; Pseudomonadati; Bacteroidota; Cytophagia; Cytophagales; Cytophagaceae.
UCCUCCUUAGCUCAGUUGGUUAGAGCAUCUGACUGUUAAUCAGAGGGUCGUUGGUUCGAGCCCAACAGGAGGAGCGA